Molecule: ribosomal RNA, 503 nt
Filed under: uncultured bacterium
Lineage: Bacteria
Description: bacterial SSU rRNA
Rfam family: Bacterial small subunit ribosomal RNA
Source: RNAcentral
UCAGGAUGAACGCUAGCGACAGGCCUAACACAUGCAAGUCGAGGGGCAGCGUGACGUAGCAAUACGUUGACGGCGACCGGCGCACGGGUGCGUAACGCGUAUGUAACCUGGCUCCGACAGGGGGAUAGCCUUCCGAAAGGGAGAUUAAUAUCCCGUAACACGUUUGCUCGCAUGGGCAGACGUUGAAAGUGGCGACACGGUCGGAGAUGGACAUGCGUCCCAUUAGGCAGACGGCGGGGUAGCGGCCCACCGUGCCGACGAUGGGUAGGGGUCCUGAGAGGGAGGUCCCCCACACUGGUACUGAGACAGGGACCAGACUCCUACGGGAGGCAGCAGUGAGGAAUAUUGGUCAAUGGACGGAAGUCUGAACCAGCCAAGUCGCGUGCCAGGACUAAGGCCCUACGGGUCGCAGACUGCUUUUAUGCGGGGAUAAAGAGGGCGACGUGUCGCCCGAUGCAGGUACCGCAGGAAUAAGGAUCGGCUAACUCCGUGCCAGCCGCCGC